AAACCAACUGGGAUUACCUUAGUAACGGCGAGUGAAGCGGUAAAAGCUCAAAUUUGAAAUCUGGUACUUUCAGUGCCCGAGUUGUAAUUUGUAGAAUUUGUCUUUGAUUAGGUCCUUGUCUAUGUUCCUUGGAACAGGACGUCAUAGAGGGUGAGAAUCCCGUUUGGCGAGGAUACCUUUUCUCUGUAAGACUUUUUCGAAGAGUCGAGUUGUUUGGGAAUGCAGCUCAAAGUGGGUGGUAAAUUCCAUCUAAAGCUAAAUAUUGGCGAGAGACCGAUAGCGAACAAGUGCAGUGAUGGAAAGAUGAGAAGAACUUUGAAAAGAGAGUGAAAAAGUACGUGAAAUUGUUGAAAGGGAAGGGCAUUUGAUCAGACAUGGUGUUUUGCGCCCUUUGCUCCUUGUGGGCGGAGGAUACGCAGCUCACUGGGCCAACAUCAGUUUUGGGAGCAGGAUAAAUCUGUAGGAACGUAGCUUUCUUCGGGAAGUGUUAUAGCCUAUGGGAAUACUGCUACCUGGGA
Molecule: ribosomal RNA, 518 nt
Filed under: uncultured Hanseniaspora
Lineage: Eukaryota; Fungi; Ascomycota; Saccharomycetes; Saccharomycodales; Saccharomycodaceae
Description: eukaryotic LSU rRNA
Rfam family: Eukaryotic large subunit ribosomal RNA
Source: RNAcentral